RNAcentral lists this ribosomal RNA (426 nucleotides) under uncultured bacterium. RNAcentral describes it as "bacterial SSU rRNA". It matches the Rfam family "Bacterial small subunit ribosomal RNA", at positions 355 to 772 of the family's 1533-position model. The record is from RNAcentral.
UGGGGAAUUGUUCGCAAUGGGCGCAAGCCUGACGACGCAACGCCGCGUGGAGGAUGAAGAUUUUCGGAUCGUAAACUCCUGUCGAAUGGGACGAAUAGAUUGCGGGUUAACAGCCCGCGGUCCUGACGGUACCGUUAAAGGAAACCCCGGCUAACUCCGUGCCAGCAGCCGCGGUAAUACGGGGGGGGUAAGCGUUGUUCGGAAUUACUGGGCGUAAAGGGCGCGUAGGCGGUUGGAUAAGUCAGCUGUGAAAACCACGGGCUUAACUCGUGGCCUGCAGUUGAGACUGUCUGGCUUGAGUGUGGGAGAGGAGAGUGGAAUUCCUGGUGUAGCGGUGAAAUGCGUAGAUAUCAGGAGGAACACCGGUGGCGAAGGCGGCUCUCUGGACCACAACUGACGCUGAGGCGCGAAAGCUAGGGGAGCAAA